CCUCCAAGGCUAAAUACUCCUGACUGACCGAUAGUGAACCAGUACCGUGAGGGAAAGGCGAAAAGAACCCCGGCGAGGGGAGUGAAAAAGAACCUGAAACCGUGUACGUACAAGCAGUGGGAGCACAGGUUUACCUGUGUGACUGCGUACCUUUUGUAUAAUGGGUCAGCGACUUAUAUUCUGUAGCAAGGUUAACCGUAUAGGGGAGCCGGAGGGAAACCGAGUCUUAACCGGGCGUUAAGUUGCAGGGUAUAGACCCGAAACCCGGUGAUCUAGCCAUGGGCAGGUUGAAGGUUGGGUAACACUAACUGGAGGACCGAACCGACUAAUGUUGAAAAAUUAGCGGAUGACCUGUGGCUGGGGGUGAAAGGCCAAUCAAACCGGGAGAUAGCUGGUUCUCCCCGAAAGCUAUUUAGGUAGCGCCUCGUGAAUUCAUCUCCGGGGGUAGAGCACUGUUUCGGCUAGGGGGCCAUCCCGGCUUACCAACCCGAUGCAAACUGCGAAUACCGGAGAAUGUUAUCACGGGAGACACACGGCGGGUGCUAACGUCCGUCGUGAAGAGGGAAACAACCCAGACCGCCAGCUAAGGUCCCAAAGUCAUGGUUAAGUGGGAAACGAUGUGGGAAGGCCCAGACAGCCAGGAUGUUGGCUUAGAAGCAGCCAUCAUUUAAAGAAAGCGUAAUAGCUCACUGGUCGAGUCGGCCUGCGCGGAAGAUGUAACGGGGCUAAACCAUGCACCGAAGCUGCGGCAGCGACACUCAGGUGUUGUUGGGUAGGGGAGCGUUCUGUAAGCCUGUGAAGGUGGCCUGUGAGGGUUGCUGGAGGUAUCAGAAGUGCGAAUGCUGACAUAAGUAACGAUAAAGCGGGUGAAAAGCCCGCUCGCCGGAAGACCAAGGGUUCCUGUCCAACGUUAAUCGGGGCAGGGUGAGUCGACCCCUAAGGCGAGGCCGAAAGGCGUAGUCGAUGGGAAACGGGUUAAUAUUCCCGUACUUGGUGUUACUGCGAAGGGGGGGACGGAGAAGGCUAUGUUGGCCGGGCGACGGUUGUCCCGGUUUAAGCGUGUAGGUGUGUGUUCCAGGUAAAUCCGGUUCACUUUAACACUGAGGCGUGACGACGAGGCACUACGGUGCUGAAGCAACAAAUGCCCUGCUUCCAGGAAAAGCCUCUAAGCAUCAGGUAACAUCAAAUCGUACCCCAAACCGACACAGGUGGUCAGGUAGAGAAUACCAAGGCGCUUGAGAGAACUCGGGUGAAGGAACUAGGCAAAAUGGUGCCGUAACUUCGGGAGAAGGCACGCUGACACGUAGGUGAAGUGAUUUACUCAUGGAGCUGAAGUCAGUCGAAGAUACCAGCUGGCUGCAACUGUUUAUUAAAAACACAGCACUGUGCAAACACGAAAGUGGACGUAUACGGUGUGACGCCUGCCCGGUGCCGGAAGGUUAAUUGAUGGGGU
RNAcentral lists this ribosomal RNA (1453 nucleotides) under Salmonella enterica subsp. enterica serovar Typhi. Its description in RNAcentral is "partial 23S ribosomal RNA". It matches the Rfam family "Bacterial large subunit ribosomal RNA", at positions 457 to 1890 of the family's 2925-position model. Lineage: Bacteria; Pseudomonadati; Pseudomonadota; Gammaproteobacteria; Enterobacterales; Enterobacteriaceae. The record is from RNAcentral.